RNAcentral lists this ribosomal RNA (500 nucleotides) under uncultured bacterium. RNAcentral's name for it is "bacterial SSU rRNA". It matches the Rfam family "Bacterial small subunit ribosomal RNA", at positions 899 to 1397 of the family's 1533-position model. The record is from RNAcentral.
ACUCAAAGGAAUUGACGGGGACCCGCACAAGCGGUGGAGCAUGUGGAUUAAUUCGACGCAACGCGAAGAACCUUACCAAGGCUUGACAUCCCGAUGAAUAUAUCAGAGAUGAUAUAGGCCCUCCGGGGACAUUGGAGACAGGUGGUGCAUGGUUGUCGUCAGCUCGUGUCGUGAGAUGUUGGGUUAAGUCCCGCAACGAGCGCAACCCCUAUCUUUAGUAGCCAUCGCGUAUUGGCGGGCACUUUAGAGAGACUGCCGUUGAUAAAACGGAGGAAGGUGGGGACGAUGUCAAAUCAUCAUGCCCCUUAUGUCUUGGGCUUCACACGUGCUACAAUGGCUUUUACAGAGUGAAGCGAAACUGUGAGGUAGAGCAAAUCACAAAAAAGAGUCCCAGUUCGGAUUGUAGUCUGCAACCCGACUACAUGAAGUUGGAAUCGCUAGUAAUCGCGAAUCAGCAUGUCGCGGUGAAUACGUUCCCGGGUCUUGUACACACCGCCCGU